UGCUCUCUCUGUUUUGAUGCGGUGCAAGUGGGAUAAUGAAAUUUACACCAGGGCGUCAUCACUGUAUAACCUCAUUGAUAUUCACAGUAAAGCUGUUGCAUCUAUAGUUACCAAGGCUGAGCCUUUAGAGGCCUACUUGCAAGUACCAGUUUGGAAAGAUUCCCUUAUGUGUUUUGAUGGCAAAAGGCAAAACAAAAGAGCAAGCAGUGGCUGCUUUGAUUCAGG
This 225-nucleotide unclassified non-coding RNA is filed under the name Hevea brasiliensis (rubber tree). Lineage: Eukaryota; Viridiplantae; Streptophyta; Magnoliopsida; Malpighiales; Euphorbiaceae. The record is from RNAcentral.